GACGAACGCUGGCGGCGCGCCUAACACAUGCAAGUCGAACGGAGCUGAGAGAAGCUUGCUUUUCUUAGCUUAGUGGCGAACGGGUGAGUAACGCGUGAGUAACCUGCCCUGGAGUGGGGGACAACAGUUGGAAACGACUGCUAAUACCGCAUAAGCCCACGAUCCGGCAUCGGAUUGAGGGAAAAGGAUUUAUUCGCUUCAGGAUGGACUCGCGUCCAAUUAGCUAGUUGGUGAGGUAACGGCCCACCAAGGCGACGAUUGGUAGCCGGACUGAGAGGUUGAACGGCCACAUUGGGACUGAGACACGGCCCAGACUCCUACGGGAGGCAGCAGUGGGGGAUAUUGCACAAGGGGGGAAACCCUGAUGCAGCGACGCCGCGUGGAGGAAGAAGGUGUUCGGAUUGUAAACUCCUGUCGUUAGGGACGAUAAUGACGGUACCUAACAAGAAAGCACCGGCUAACUACGUG
Molecule: ribosomal RNA, 468 nt
Filed under: uncultured bacterium
Lineage: Bacteria
Description: partial 16S ribosomal RNA
Rfam family: Bacterial small subunit ribosomal RNA
Source: RNAcentral